RNAcentral lists this long non-coding RNA (357 nucleotides) under Nicotiana benthamiana. RNAcentral describes it as "long non-coding RNA (NBEN_LNC018268)". The record is from RNAcentral. Lineage: Eukaryota; Viridiplantae; Streptophyta; Magnoliopsida; Solanales; Solanaceae.
AAUUGCUAGAGAUAUCGAAGAGAUGAUGAGGAGCCCACAUUUUUGGAAUGAACUUGAAGCAGUGCAUUCACUGGUAAAACUGAUUAAGACAAUGGCACAGGAUAUCCAGACAGAGAAGCCGCGUGUAGGGCAGUGCCUUCCUCUUUGGGAGGAGCUUAGGGUGAAAGUGAAGGAUUGGUGUUCGAAGUUUCACAUUAUCGCCGCGUGUAGGACAGUGCCUUCCUCUUUGGGAGGAGCUUAGGGUGAAAGUGAAGGAUUGGUGUUCGAAGUUUCACAUUAUCGAGGGACCAGUAGAGAAGGUGAUUGAAAGGAGAUUUAACAAGAACUAUCAUCCUGCUUGGGCUGCUGCUUUUAUAC